This 500-nucleotide ribosomal RNA is filed under the name uncultured bacterium. RNAcentral describes it as "partial 16S ribosomal RNA". It matches the Rfam family "Bacterial small subunit ribosomal RNA", at positions 30 to 523 of the family's 1533-position model. The record is from RNAcentral.
AUUGAACGCUGGCGGAAUGCUUUACACAUGCAAGUCGAACGGCAGCACGGGGGCAACCCUGGUGGCGAGUGGCGAACGGGUGAGUAAUACAUCGGAACGUGCCCAGUCGUGGGGGAUAACGUAGCGAAAGUUACGCUAAUACCGCAUACGAUCUACGGAUGAAAGCGGGGGACCGUAAGGCCUCGCGCGCUUGGAGCGGCCGAUGUUGGAUUAGGAAGUUGGUGGGGUAAAGGCUCACCAAGCCGACGAUCUGUAGCUGGUCUGAGAGGACGACAAGCCACACUGGGACUGAGACACGGCCCAGACUCCUACGGGAGGCAGCAGUGGGGAAUUUUGGACAAUGGGCGCAAGCCUGAUCCAGCCAUUCCGCGUGCAGGACGAAGGCCUUCGGGUUGUAAACUGCUUUUGUACGGAACGAAAAGGCUCUGGUUAAUACCUGGGGCUCAUGACGGUACCGUAAGAAUAAGCACCGGCUAACUACGUGCCAGCCGCCGCCGUAA